Molecule: ribosomal RNA, 274 nt
Filed under: uncultured bacterium
Lineage: Bacteria
Description: partial 16S ribosomal RNA
Rfam family: Bacterial small subunit ribosomal RNA
Source: RNAcentral
AUACGGAGGGUGCAAGCGUUGUUCGGAAUCACUGGGCGUAAAGGGCGCGCAGGCGGUUUGGUAAGUCAGAUGUGAAAGCCCAUGGCUCAACCAUGGAAGUGCAUUUGAAACUGUCAGACUUGAGUACUAGAGGGGAAAGUGGAAUUCCCGGUGUAGAGGUGAAAUUCGUAGAUAUCGGGAGAAAUACCGGUGGCGAAGGCGACUUUCUGGCUGGAUACUGACGCUGAGGCGCGAAAGCGUGGGGAGCAAACAGGAUUAGAUACCCCAGUAGUCC